CCUACGGGAGGCAGCAGUGAGGAAUAUUGGUCAAUGGGCGAGAGCCUGAACCAGCCAAGUCGCGUGAAGGAUGACGGCCCUACGGGUUGUAAACUUCUUUUGUCAGGUAGCAAUUGGGUCCACGCGUGGGCUUAGCGAGAGUACCUGAAGAACAAGCAUCCGCUAACUCCGUGCCAGCAGCCGCGGUAAUACGUAGGGAGCGAGCGUUAUCCGGAAUUAUUGGGCGUAAAGUGUGCGUAGAUGGCAUAUUAAGUCUUUUGUAAAAAUGCUGGGCUCAACCCAGUAGGGCAAAAGAUACUGCAAAGCUAGAGUAUGACAGAGGCAAGUGGAACUACAUGUGUAGCGGUAAAAUGCGUAAAUAUAUGUAAGAACACCAGUGGCGAAGGCGGCUUGCUGGGUCGAUACUGACAUUGAGGCACGAAAGCGUGGGGAGCAAACAGGAGUAGAUACCCUGGUAGUC
RNAcentral lists this ribosomal RNA (460 nucleotides) under uncultured bacterium. Its description in RNAcentral is "partial 16S ribosomal RNA". It matches the Rfam family "Bacterial small subunit ribosomal RNA", at positions 338 to 795 of the family's 1533-position model. The record is from RNAcentral.